UUCAGUUUUGAAAGGCGAAAAAUUGAUAAGAUAGCCAUAGGACUGUUGCACUUGUCAAGUCUUUUCCCCAAUAUCUUUACUCUUUCUGGCAUUUGCUAAUUCUUGUAACCUGUGGAAAAGUCAAAGGGUAUUUAGAAGAGCACAAUGUCACUUGUGAUUCAAUAACAGAGCAAUAUGUAAAAAACAACAUUAUCUUCAUAAGCAUAUCAGUAUUCAGAGAAUCUUAAGAAACUAUAUACCUUUUAUGUUUUUAUAACCUUGUAUGAAGUAUUUUUAUCGCCAAUAUACUCUCAUCUGCACACUACAUCCACCCUGCAUCAAAUGCACAUCUAUUAUUAAUAAUGAACUCAAUCUUAAUAUUUCAUCUAUCUUUGGUCCUGUCCUGCUGAUCAAUAACAUUAACAGAACUUCAAGGUAAGAACCAACCUGAAUUGCGUAGGAAAACCUGAUAGGUAGCCUUGGCUAGCAAUACAACAUAGUGGUAGCUUAGUAGAUAAAACAGCACAAUCAUACUUUCAAAACAACAACCAGGUUAAUCAAGUAUCCAGAGACCCAG
Molecule: long non-coding RNA, 556 nt
Filed under: Triticum aestivum (bread wheat)
Lineage: Eukaryota; Viridiplantae; Streptophyta; Magnoliopsida; Poales; Poaceae
Description: long non-coding RNA (TAES_LNC009698)
Source: RNAcentral